This 404-nucleotide ribosomal RNA is filed under the name uncultured bacterium. RNAcentral describes it as "bacterial SSU rRNA". It matches the Rfam family "Bacterial small subunit ribosomal RNA", at positions 28 to 433 of the family's 1533-position model. The record is from RNAcentral.
GAUGAACGCUAGCGGCAGGCUUAACACAUGCAAGUCGAGGGGUAUUGGUUUUCGGACCAAGAGACCGGCGCACGGGUGCGUAACGCGUAUGCAAUCUACCUUUUGCAGAGGGAUAGCCCCAGAGAAAUUUGGAUUAAUACCUCAUAGUAUAGUACUUUGGCAUCAAGGAACUAUUAAAGUCACAACGGCAAAAGAUGAGCAUGCGUCCCAUUAGCUAGUUGGUAAGGUAACGGCUUACCAAGGCUACGAUGGGUAGGGGUCCUGAGAGGGAGAUCCCCCCACACUGGUACUGAGACACGGACCAGACUCCUACGGGAGGCAGCAGUGAGGAAUAUUGGACAAUGGGCGCAAGCCUGAUCCAGCCAUGCCGCGUGCAGGAAGACGGUCCUAUGGAUUGAAACUGC